GAUGAACGCUGGCGGCGUGCCUAAUACAUGCAAGUCGAGCGAACAGACGAGGAGCUUGCUCCUCUGACGUUAGCGGCGGACGGGUGAGUAACACGUGGAUAACCUACCUAUAAGACUGGGAUAACUUCGGGAAACCGGAGCUAAUACCGGAUAAUAUAUUGAACCGCAUGCUUCAAUAGUGAAGGACGGUUUUGCUGUCACUUAUAGAUGGAUCCGCGCCGCAUUAGCUAGUUGGUAAGGUAACGGCUUACCAAGGCAACGAUGCGUAGCCGACCUGAGAGGGUGAUCGGCCACACUGGAACUGAGACACGGUCCAGACUCCUACGGGAGGCAGCAGUAGGGAAUCUUCCGCAAUGGGCGAAAGCCUGACGGAGCAACGCCGCGUGAGUGAUGAAGGUCUUCGGAUCGUAAAACUCUGUUAUUAGGGAAGAACAAAUGUGUAAGUAACUAUGCACGUCUUGACGGUACCUAAUCAGAAAGCCACGGCUAACUACGCG
RNAcentral lists this ribosomal RNA (497 nucleotides) under uncultured bacterium. Its description in RNAcentral is "partial 16S ribosomal RNA". It matches the Rfam family "Bacterial small subunit ribosomal RNA", at positions 28 to 507 of the family's 1533-position model. The record is from RNAcentral.